AUCCGUAGGGUGCAAGCGUUAUUCGGAAUCACUGGGCGUAAAGGACGCGUAGGCGGGUUGGCAAGUCAGAUGUGAAAUCCUACAGCUUAACUGUAGAACUGCAUUUGAAACUGCUAACCUAGAGUAUGGGAGGGGGAGAUGGAAUUAGUGGUGUAGGGGUAAAAUCCGUAGAUAUCACUAGGAAUACCGAAAGCGAAGGCGAUCUCCUGGAACAUAACUGACGCUAAGGCGUGAAAGCGUGGGGAGCAAACAGGAUUAGAAACCCUAGUAGUCC
RNAcentral lists this ribosomal RNA (274 nucleotides) under uncultured bacterium. RNAcentral's name for it is "partial 16S ribosomal RNA". It matches the Rfam family "Bacterial small subunit ribosomal RNA", at positions 523 to 796 of the family's 1533-position model. The record is from RNAcentral.